RNAcentral lists this ribosomal RNA (492 nucleotides) under uncultured bacterium. RNAcentral describes it as "partial 16S ribosomal RNA". It matches the Rfam family "Bacterial small subunit ribosomal RNA", at positions 30 to 507 of the family's 1533-position model. The record is from RNAcentral.
AUUGAACGCUGGCGGCAGGCCUAACACAUGCAAGUCGAACGGUAACACAAUACGGCUUUCUGUUUCCCUGACGCGUGUCGCAGGGGUGUGAGGUGUCUAGCAAACUCCAUGUUUUCGGGGGAUAACACGUAGAAACGGUUGCUAUAACAGCAUAUCGUCCCAAGCCCAGAGAGGGGGAGACUCUGGCACCUUGCCAGCUGGUGUGCGCAGAUGGGGGAUUAGCUUGUGGGGGGGGUAAAGUCCCACCAAGGCGACGAUCUGUAGCUGGUGUGAGAGGAUGAUCAGCCACACUGGAACUGAGACACGGUCCAGACUCCUACGGGAGGCAGCAGUGGGGAAUAUUGGACAAUGGGCGCAAGCCUGAUGCAGCCAUGCCGCGUGUGUGAAGAAGGCCUUCGGGUUGUAAAGCACUUUUGUUGGGGAAGAAGAGAGUAAGGUUAAUACCCCGCCUUAGUGACGGUACCCGAAGAAGAAGCACCGGCUAACUCCGUG